This 72-nucleotide transfer RNA is filed under the name Candidatus Aerophobus sp. RNAcentral's name for it is "tRNA-Gly". It matches the Rfam family "tRNA". Rfam says of the family: Transfer RNA (tRNA) molecules are approximately 80 nucleotides in length. Lineage: Bacteria; Candidatus Aerophobota; Candidatus Aerophobia; Candidatus Aerophobales; Candidatus Aerophobaceae. The record is from RNAcentral.
GCGGGAAUAGCUCAGCGGUAGAGCAUCAGCUUCCCAAGCUGAGGGUCGCGGGUUCAAGUCCCGUUUCCCGCU